CCUACGGGUGGCAGCAGUAGGGAAUCUUCCACAAUGGACGAAAGUCUGAUGGAGCAACGCCGCGUGAGUGAAGAAGGGUUUCGGCUCGUAAAGCUCUGUUGGUAGUGAAGAAAGAUAGAGGUAGUAACUGGCCUUUAUUUGACGUUAAUUACUUAGAAAGUCACGGCUAACUACGUGCCAGCAGCCGCGGUAAUACGUAGGUGGCAAGCGUUGUCCGGCUUUCUUGGGCGUACAGCUAGUGCAGGCAGUUCAAUAAGUCUGAUGUGCACGCCUUCGGCUCAACCGGAGAAUUGCAUCAGAAACUGUUGAAGUUGAGUGCAGAAGAGGAGAGUGGAACUCCAUGUGUAGCGGUGGAAUGCGUAGAUAUAUGGAAGAACACCAGUGGCGAAGGCGGCUCUCUGGGCUGCAACUGACGCUGAGGCUCGAAAGCAUGGGUAGCGAACAGGAUUAGAUACCCUUGUAGUC
This 465-nucleotide ribosomal RNA is filed under the name uncultured bacterium. Its description in RNAcentral is "partial 16S ribosomal RNA". It matches the Rfam family "Bacterial small subunit ribosomal RNA", at positions 338 to 795 of the family's 1533-position model. The record is from RNAcentral.